CCUACGGGAGGCAGCAGUGAGGAAUAUUGGUCAAUGGCCGGAAGGCUGACCCAGCCAAGCCGCGUGAAGGAAGAAGGUGUUCAGAAUUGUAAACUUCUUUUGUCAGGGAACAACAACAGGGUCGCGAGCCUGUACGAGUGUACUUGAAGAAAAAGCAUCGGCUAACUCCGGGCCAGCAGCCGCGGUAAUACGGAGGAUGCGAGCGUUAUCCGGUUUUAGUGGGUUUAAAGGGUGGGUAGGGGGACUGUUACGUCAGCGGUAAAAGCCCGGGGCUAAACCCCGAGCAGCCGUUGAAACUAGCUGUCUUGAGUGGGAGAGAGGUAUGCGGAAUGCGCGGUGUAGCGGUGAAAUGCGUAGAUAUUGGGAAGAACACCGGUUGCGAAGGCGGCAUGCUGGCUACUAACUGACGCUGAGGCACGAAAGCGUGGGUAGCGAACAGGAUUAGAUACCCGUGUAGUC
Molecule: ribosomal RNA, 459 nt
Filed under: uncultured bacterium
Lineage: Bacteria
Description: partial 16S ribosomal RNA
Rfam family: Bacterial small subunit ribosomal RNA
Source: RNAcentral